RNAcentral lists this ribosomal RNA (234 nucleotides) under uncultured bacterium. RNAcentral's name for it is "partial 16S ribosomal RNA". It matches the Rfam family "Bacterial small subunit ribosomal RNA", at positions 118 to 347 of the family's 1533-position model. The record is from RNAcentral.
UGAGGAACAUGACCUUCGGCGGGGGAUAGCCGGCCCAACGGCCGGGUAAUACCGCGUACGACCUUUCGGGGACAUCCCUGGAUGGUGAGAGCAGCAAUGCGCCGAUGGAGUGCCUCGCGGCCUACCAGCUAGUUGGUGAGGUAACGGCUCACCAAGGCAACGACGGGUAGCUGGUCUGAGAGGAUGGCCAGCCACAUUGGGACUGAGACACGGCCCAGACUCCUACGGGAGCAG